Long non-coding RNA from Chelonia mydas (Green sea turtle), 270 nucleotides. RefSeq lists it as uncharacterized. The record is from RefSeq and is a predicted model, not a curated record. The transcript has 3 exons. Lineage: Eukaryota; Metazoa; Chordata; Testudines; Cheloniidae.
GAGGAGAGCCCUGAGGCACACAAGGCUGGGGCCCAGUACAAGCCUGAGACAGACCCAACAACCAAAACAAGCAGAAAGUGAGAUCCUGAGUCCUUGGAGUCCUCCAGAGCCUGCAAAGGGUAACCCACUCUCUCCUGCUGCUAUCUACUAACAGGUACCUCGACAUCCUGAACACUGGAUAAAGAAGUUGAUUAAAUCCAGAAGUGCUAUAUCCCUGUCUUGUUUAUAUGAUUCAAUCCAGUCGUCCACCACAGACUGUCAAGAAAAAGA